GCUCUACUUGAACCAGAUGAAUCAUGACUUGGAGAGCCCAAGUUCUUUAAGACUCUUUCUCCAUAAAUCAUGUCAAAAGGAAAAGUGAGGUGUUGUUUUUCUCAUCCUUCUUUCUUCACGCGUCUGAAAGAAGAGGGGGCGCCAAUAAUUGGUGCUCCACCUUAUCUGGAAGUCUUUUUCAUUCAAAUUUUUUUUAUUUAAAUUUAAUUUAAAAUAACAUAAAAAUUUGUUAGAUUGGGAUAUGGAAGUUUUUUUUUGUGUGACAAAAAAAUUGGGGAAAGGUGGGACGUGCGCUUAUGGUGAGAAGAGAUUUCUUUCUUGCAAUGCAACCUCAUCUCCAUACCUUUCCAAUUCUUGAUUUAAUUUCAACACCUUAGAUGAGAUCUCUUGGGUGUGAUGGAGAGGGUGUGCAUGGAGUAAGAUGAGGAGUGCGACAAAAAAUUUAAAAAAAAGGGGCGUGAAGAGUUUGUGACGUUAAAAAAGAUGUGAGGCGCUACUUCUUUCUUUCUUACACACCCCAACGCCCAACUUCCUUCUCCUUUCUUCCAUUAUGUCCAUGCCC
RNAcentral lists this long non-coding RNA (562 nucleotides) under Elaeis guineensis (African oil palm). RNAcentral's name for it is "long non-coding RNA (EGUI_LNC066504)". Lineage: Eukaryota; Viridiplantae; Streptophyta; Magnoliopsida; Arecales; Arecaceae. The record is from RNAcentral.